AGCAAUUCUCCUGCCUCAGCCUCCCACGUUGCUGGGAUUACAGGUGAAGCGUAUGCCCUGUGAGCUUAGGGGUGCUACAGUUGACCACUGCCACAGUAAAGAUGACUCUGAAGAAUGGCAUGGGAUGGAUCCUUUCGAAUGCACUUGAGCAGCGGUCUCCAACCAAAGGGCCAUAGAACCGGAGCUGGAUCUACCAUGAAAGACUUCUGAAUCCAGGAAGAGAGACUGACUGGGCAACAUGUUAUUCAGGAGAUGAGGUCUCACCCUGUCACCCAGGCUGGAGUACAGUAGUACUAUCACAACUCACUGCAGUCUUGAGCUCCUGGGCUAAGGAUCCUCCUGCCUGAGCCUCCUGAGUAGCUGGGACUAUAGGUAUACAUGACGACACUUGGCUAAUUUUUAAAUUGUUUUGUGGACAUGGGGUCUCACUUUGUUGGCCUGGCUGGUGUCAAACUUCUGGCCUUAAGUAACCCUUUCACCCCUGCCUCCCAUCCUAGAGGUAUGAGCUGCCACAACGAGCACUUGUUCAAUUUCUAAACAAAAAAACAUUUCUAAAGUAAGGCUGUAGGAUGAUGGCAGGAAGAUAAAAAUAGAAAAACAGAAGAAUAAGUUCAGAUGACUUACACAUAUUCUUUUGACAGCAAGAAGAACUUUUAGUAUAUACAUUCCUUGCAAACAAACAUAAGGCAAAUAAACAGUGUUGUAUAGGAACGUCAACACACACUACAAUAUUCCCACUUUGCUGACAUGAGUUAUGGAAAUUUUGUGGUUUACUUGAGUAUCGCUAUCAGUAUUUUGCUUCUCUGAUCAUUUUUAUGAACUUCCUCAUCUGUUAACUUCUCUCCAAGGUAUGUCAUAUCGUGACAUACUGCUGCUGCACAAACAUGGCCAGUGUCUUCCUCUUAAACAUGUUGAAUGCUUUCUUAAUUUCUUUUACCCUCUGUCUCUGUGUUUUGCAUUUUUCUUACCUUUAUUGUCAGAAACUCGAGAAAGUCAGUCAUACUAAUUUAUCGC
Molecule: non-coding RNA, 1014 nt
Organism: Macaca mulatta (Rhesus monkey)
Lineage: Eukaryota; Metazoa; Chordata; Mammalia; Primates; Cercopithecidae
Source: RefSeq, a predicted model, not a curated record